RNAcentral lists this ribosomal RNA (253 nucleotides) under uncultured bacterium. RNAcentral's name for it is "partial 16S ribosomal RNA". It matches the Rfam family "Bacterial small subunit ribosomal RNA", at positions 524 to 776 of the family's 1533-position model. The record is from RNAcentral.
UACGUAGGGGGCAAGCGUUGUCCGGAAUCAUUGGGCGUAAAGAGCGUGUAGGCGGCCAGAUAGGUCCGUUGUGAAAACUGGAGGCUUAACCUCCAGCGGUCGAUGGAAACCAUUUGGCUAGAGUCCGGAAGAGGAGAGUGGAAUUCCUGGUGUAGCGGUGAAAUGCGCAGAUAUCAGGAAGAACACCCGUGGCGAAGGCGGUUCUCUGGGACGGUACUGACGCUGAGACGCGAAAGCGUGGGGAGCGAACAGG